Molecule: transfer RNA, 72 nt
Filed under: Camelus bactrianus (Bactrian camel)
Lineage: Eukaryota; Metazoa; Chordata; Mammalia; Artiodactyla; Camelidae
Also listed under: 2 other names
Rfam family: tRNA
About the family: Transfer RNA (tRNA) molecules are approximately 80 nucleotides in length. Their secondary structure includes four short double-helical elements and three loops (D, anti-codon, and T loops).
Source: Rfam by way of RNAcentral
GAGGGUAUAUCUCACUGGUAGAAUGUGUGCUUAGCAUGCACGAGGUCCUGGGUUCCAUCCCCAGUGCUUCCA